GAUGAACGCUAGCGGCAGGCCUAACACAUGCAAGUCGAGGGGCAGCACAGAAACAGCAAUGUUUUGGUGGCGACCGGCGGACGGGUGCGUAACGCGUAUGCAACCUACCUUUAACAGGGGGAUAACGGAGAGAAAUUUCCACUAAUACCCCAUAACAUCGAUCAAGGCAUCUUGAUUGGUUAAAAACUCCGGUGGUUAAAGAUGGGCAUGCGUUGUAUUAGGUAGUUGGUGAGGUAAUGGCUCACCAAGCCUACGAUACAUAGGGGGACUGAGAGGUUAGCCCCCCGCACUGGUACUGAGACACGGACCAGACGCCUACGGGAGGCAGCAGUGAGGAAUAUUGGUCAAUGGGGGCAACCCUGAACCAGCCAUGCCGCGUGCAGGAAGACGGCUCUAUGAGUUGUAAACUGCUUUUAAACAGGGAUAAAGCACAGUAUGUAUACUGUGUUGAAGGUACUGUAAGAAUAAGGAUCGGCUAACUCCGUGCCAGCCGCCGCCGUAA
This 502-nucleotide ribosomal RNA is filed under the name uncultured bacterium. RNAcentral's name for it is "partial 16S ribosomal RNA". It matches the Rfam family "Bacterial small subunit ribosomal RNA", at positions 28 to 523 of the family's 1533-position model. The record is from RNAcentral.